UUCCUUGGAAAAGGACAGCUGAGAGGGUGAAACUCCCGUCCGCCUGGUAGAAUGAGUCUUUGUCAACGAGUCGAGUUGUUUGGGAUUGCAGCUCUAAUUUGGUGGUAAAUUCCAUCUAAAGCUAAAUAUUGGUGGGAGACCGAUAGCGUACAAGUACCGUGAGGGAAAGAUGCAAAGGACUUUGAAAAGAGAGUUAAAGAGUACCUGAAAUUGCUGAAACGGAAGCGAAGGAAACCAGUGUUUGUUGGUUCAUAUUUCCUUGGCCACUUGUGGUUUGGGCG
This 281-nucleotide ribosomal RNA is filed under the name Pseudo-nitzschia fraudulenta. RNAcentral describes it as "partial 28S ribosomal RNA". It matches the Rfam family "Eukaryotic large subunit ribosomal RNA", at positions 186 to 475 of the family's 3401-position model. The record is from RNAcentral. Lineage: Eukaryota; Bacillariophyta; Bacillariophyceae; Bacillariales; Bacillariaceae.